UCUAGCCCCUUAGGAGGGGCAAUGUUCCUCCAGGGAGAAGAAAAUUCCUGAUCAGCCUGCAGACUGGAAAGAUUUCUCCCAUUUCCCUGCACUGGACAGUCAGCACACAGGGACAGGAGUUCUUAGGAACAAAUGGUUUCCCUGUGAGAGGCCCAAAGUGUCCAAAAACAAAGCAAAACCCACAUUCCUUCAGAACAUGGUUGGCCAAAGUCUUGAAUAUCCCUGCCUGACAUAUGGAGAGAAAAUUGCUCCUCCCACUGCUGUACCCAUUCUCUAAAAGGUCUUCCCCAAAGAAGAUCUUCUUGGUAACAAUUAUGCAAAGGUGAGGUUAAGUGACCUCAUGGAAGAGAAACCUCAAACCGACAACAAUCUUGCCCCUUUAAGCCCCCCAAAUGCCCCUUGGAUGAGGAGUGAUCCCAUGAGUGUUGAAGGAAGCUUUGCCAUUACAGGACAAUCAAGGUCACUCCGAAGUUAAAUGAAGACAACAACAACAGCAGCUGCAGCCUUUGUUGAGGUCCAGAUUGCGAGCACGGCUGAGCGGGCCCCAGCCCUGCACUUCAUUACGUGUAAGCACCAUUAAUAACCAACAAUAGGUUCUCGAAUCAGCAGAUAAGUGUUUU
Long non-coding RNA from Phacochoerus africanus (Common warthog), 620 nucleotides. RefSeq lists it as uncharacterized. NCBI's taxonomy places the organism in Eukaryota, Metazoa, Chordata, Mammalia, Artiodactyla, Suidae. The record is from RefSeq and is a predicted model, not a curated record. The transcript is spliced from 4 exons.